Molecule: long non-coding RNA, 1130 nt
Filed under: Marmota monax (woodchuck)
Lineage: Eukaryota; Metazoa; Chordata; Mammalia; Rodentia; Sciuridae
Source: RNAcentral
UCUACUGUCCUCCCAAAUACUUGUCUACCCUAAAUUACCUCCUGUCUAUUCCCCUGAUACUAACCCUCUUCAUUAGAGUUCUCCUCCAAAUUUCCUAAGUUAUAUUAACCCCAUGCCCUCACAUCUUUCCCCCUUACCAUAGCAUCCUACGCCCAGCCCCCAGUUCUCUGUCUGCCACCAGAAACUGUACAUCUUUUAUGUACAGAUAAAUAUAAUAAAGGUAUUGGGAAAAUACCUUUUUCAUACAGAGUAUGAAACCUCUGAUAUAUUUUAAAUAAUAAUUGAAUCCAACAUUUCUGGACAUUGAGACUAACUAUAAAUGUCUUAAUAACAAUAAUUUGUUCAUAGGUGAUGUAUCGUUGAAAUUGGGAUCUGUAAACAUUGUCCUUCUCCACAAAGGAGGGAUCAUGGAACCAUACAAGAGCACUAAAAAUCUAUAGAGUAAAAACAAUAACACACCAGUUCCACAAGUUGCUGGAAAGAAACAAACCAAGCAACCUGAAAAGACAAGGGAAGAAAGUACCACAAACAAUUCAAGACAACAUAUCAUUAGAAGAAUUAACAGCUACAGUGGAAAAGAGGACAGAGAAAGAUUUCAGAAUAUACAUGACUAAAAUGUUUUGGAAUCUCAAAGAAGACAUUAGAGAACAAAUACAGGCAGUGAAAGAUCACUUUGACGAUGAACUACAUAAACAAAUCCAAGAAGCAAAAGGUCACCUCUACAGGGAGAUAGAGGUUAUACAAAAAAACCAAAUAGAAAUCCUUGAAAUGAAAGAAAUAAUAAACCAAAUUAAAAACUCAAAUGAGAGCAUCACCAGCAAAGUAGACAACUUAGAAGAUAGGACAUCAGACAACAAAGACAAAGCAUAUCACUUGAAAACAACAUAGACAGCACAGCAAAAAUGAGCAGAAAACAUGAGCAGAACAUUCAAGAAAUAUGGGGCAGCAUAAAAAGACCAAAUUUAAGAGCUAUUGGGAUAGAGGAAGGCCUAGAGGUCCAAACCAAAGGAAUGAGCAAUCUGUUCAAUGAAAUAAUAUCAGAAAACUUUCCAUAUAUGAAGAAUGAAACAGAAAUCCAAAUCCAAGAAGCCUACAGGAUGCCAAAUGUGCAAAAUAACAGCAGAUCCAUA